UACGGAGGGUGCAAGCGUUGUCCGGAAUCACUGGGCGUAAAGGGCGCGUAGGCGGCUCAUGAAGGCUGUGGUGAAAGUCCGGGGCUCAACCUCGGAUCGGCCGUGGCGACUCGUGGGCUGGAGCACUGUAGAGGCGGGUGGAAUUCCGGGUGUAGCGGUGGAAUGCGUAGAGAUCCGGAAGAACACCAGUGGCGAAGGCGAUCAUCUGGGGUUGUUCUGACACUGAGGAGCGAAAGCUAGGGGAGCAAACAGG
RNAcentral lists this ribosomal RNA (253 nucleotides) under uncultured bacterium. RNAcentral's name for it is "partial 16S ribosomal RNA". It matches the Rfam family "Bacterial small subunit ribosomal RNA", at positions 524 to 776 of the family's 1533-position model. The record is from RNAcentral.